RNAcentral lists this small RNA (79 nucleotides) under Nannospalax galili (Upper Galilee mountains blind mole rat). RNAcentral's name for it is "7SK RNA (ENSNGAG00000003450.1)". It matches the Rfam family "7SK RNA", at positions 14 to 92 of the family's 331-position model. Rfam says of the family: 7SK was discovered as an abundant small nuclear RNA in the mid-70s but a possible function has only recently been suggested. Lineage: Eukaryota; Metazoa; Chordata; Mammalia; Rodentia; Spalacidae. The record is from RNAcentral.
AUCUGGCUGUGAUAUCUGUCAUCCUACUGAACACCAGGGUGGAUUCAGCUGAUCUGGCUGGCUCCGUAUGUGUCACUCU